Molecule: small nucleolar RNA, 136 nt
Organism: Talpa occidentalis (Iberian mole)
Lineage: Eukaryota; Metazoa; Chordata; Mammalia; Eulipotyphla; Talpidae
Product: small nucleolar RNA SNORA5
Exons: 1
Source: RefSeq, a predicted model, not a curated record
UGCUCCACAGUCCAAUUCAUCCCCUAUUCCUAUCAUAGUGGAGACUGGCCCGGAUGACUGCCACCACAAAUUCCACAGUUCACGGGCCCUGGGUCUCCUGACCUUGGUCCUGGGAUAAGUUUGACUGCAAACAUUG